Molecule: long non-coding RNA, 554 nt
Filed under: Mus spicilegus (steppe mouse)
Lineage: Eukaryota; Metazoa; Chordata; Mammalia; Rodentia; Muridae
Description: lncRNA (ENSMSIG00000013217.1)
Source: RNAcentral
UGGCUUUAGGUUGUCACCAGAAGGGACACUCUGGAAAGCCACCAAGCUGUGCUUGUGCUUCACACCCUCCAUUUAUGACAGACAACCUGCUUCAGGAUGAGGUAGCCGCAGCCUAUUUGGCCACUGGAAAAUAACAGAAAAAAAAAAUCCUGCAAUGUUGCAUAAAAGCCAUGGCGCACCCAGGCCUGAAGAGUGGUUUGCAAGCUGCUGGGUUUCCUCAGGCGCUGGCAAGGUUAAAGCCCCAAUUUCGUUUCUAUGAAGAUUCCAGCCUCCUGUUCCUCAACUCCUGUCAGCUUCAUCUUCACAUCCAGUACUCCAGCCUAACUGGACCAAGCAGAGCUCAUCCAUCAGACCCCCAUGCAGAGGGCCAGAAUGCUCUGCUGCCUCACAUCCUACUACCUCCAAACGUCCCUGACUCCACCAUACCCUGGGUCUCAGGUGUACGAGCUCCUAGAGGCCAGAGACAUUGUCUGAAGAAACAGUCUGUGUCCCUUCUGAUUGUCCUUUCAGAAUCAAAUGUCAUUAACACAAACUAGUGCCUUAUUAUAAUCUCC